UACCUGCAAGAUUAAGGGAGGUUUGAAAAAGAACCGCAGAGAAUGAUCAGACCUGAGAAUUGAUAUAGACACCCAGCCUCCCACAAACCUCGUCAAUAUUGGUAGGAGUUUGGGGGGAAUAUUCUGGAGUAAAAACUGAUUGAAAUGAAGAAUACUUUCACCUUGGUUAAAAGGGAAAAGAAGAGUCUUUAAGUAUAUGAUCAAAGAUCAGAACUGGACCUGGAGAGACACUAGAAACGCACUCCUUGAAUCACCCUAAGACUCCAAAAAAUCCAGCACACAGCAGGCUUCCCUGGGGCUAGGAGCAGCACUCUUGGCCCAGACUUUCAGGAGAAGACGUUGCUGCAGAGAGCCAUCACCAGCAAACUGUGAUUUAUUCUAAUUCACUCCGCUCUGGCACUGACCUCAUCCUGUGCUGGUCUGAAGAACAACACGGUAGGGUCGACGGCAUUUAUCUUUUCUGCACAGCUGUAAGACAGGCCCUCUGCUGCGAUGGAUUACCAGCAGCGGUUAUUCACAUUUUAAAAGAUCUCCCUGGCUGUCACACAAAAUCCCGCACAGAGAGAGCACAACUGCUCCUCCGGGCAUGGAAAUCCACGGGCAGCACGGGUAAAGGAAACCACGCAGAGCAGCAGCCACCGUUUCCAGCUUCCCCCAUCCCCAUCCCUGCUAACGCCAUGCCAGAUGGAGGAUGUGGUCCCCAGACUUCGUUGAAACUUUAAUGGGGAUCGCUAAGCUAUCUUGGUCACUAUCUUUGUGCCAGAGCUCACACAGGCAGGGUGCUGGGAGAGAGGAGGGGGCCCUCGGGGGCCACUCUUUUGACCUUGCCAACUUCAUCAUACCAAACACGGGGACUGGGGCACACAGGUCCUGGAUGGAUGCAGCUAUUGCGUGUUCUGUAUUCUGACCUCUCUUUUUUAGUUUUUCUUUUCUUUCCCAGCACUUCAAGCACUGGCCUUUGCUGGUUUCUGCUCUAAGAAACAAUAAAUAAGAGACAUACUGUUUAGGCAUGUUUCAAGACCAAUCUAUCAUUUAGAUUCUGAUACCUGAAUUGAUGACAAAAAUAAAAGCUGGAUUUCAACAUUA
This is a long non-coding RNA of Dromaius novaehollandiae (emu), 1086 nucleotides long. RefSeq lists it as uncharacterized. NCBI's taxonomy places the organism in Eukaryota, Metazoa, Chordata, Aves, Casuariiformes, Dromaiidae. The transcript has 2 exons. The record is from RefSeq and is a predicted model, not a curated record.